AUCACUCUGAGACCACUGAUAACACAGCUUGGGUUCCUUUGUGCUUUCAGAGGACUUUUGCUGCUGGAUUUGCUGUCGCCAGUCAAAGGACAAGGUUAAAUCUCAGAUCACAGCUAAGAGAAAGUGCUGCUGAGCUGCAUGGGAGUGCAAAUGCAACCCAAACCUUCUUUUCCUGAAAUGGAAUCAACUUUCAUCUAGCAACAUCAACACUGUUGGCUCCUUCCUCUUCCCUGCCCUCACUUCAUGUACUGCGAAGUUGAGCAGCACAGAAUUGGGCUGCAGCAGAACUGCCAAGCAGGCUUUGCAUGCCACUGCGUGAGCCUUCCUCUCCUAAGAUGGGUUGACCUGGUCACUGGGGAGAAAUGUUCUCAGAUCUAUGAUGAUCCAGAGGAGACUGGGACUUGAAAGAACUUAUGCAAGCGCAAGCCAGGAGCUGCUCUGAGUAGAAUCAGACCCAUUUAUGCUGGGGGUGAGCUGCGUGGAUGCAAGCUGCUGUGGGUGUGAUGCUGAGCAGAGCUGUUGGGGUUGCAUUGAGGAGGAACAUGGACACGGAUGCUGGGGGUGAUUCUUGGCACCUGGAGGCAAAGCACAGCAACAGCUGUCCUGCUGCCCAGCACCAAAGCUCUCUACAUCUUCACGGGACCCAUCACAAUGCCUGCGCUGAUGGCUGUAUUGUGAGUGUUGCUAAUGGGGAAAAGCCACCCGUCGUCCCCUUGGAUAGAGCACUUCAUUGCGCUUCGUGGAGAAAUGGAAGAUUAGAAGUCUACCACAGAGAAGGAAGAUAACAUUAUGAGCUUGAUUCUGCACUUCUGACCUUCUUUUAAACCAGCCAUCGCCUACCCGUCUCGAUGCGCAGUUUCAUGGAGGUCGUGUGCUCCCUGUGCCUGUUCCUGGCCACACACCAGUACCACCCCGCGUCCUCCUCCCGCAGGUGGCUCAUCACCACGGUGUAGGUCCCACUGUCCUGCUCACUGUUGCUGAUCCAUAUGCGCCCUUUGUAGGACUCGUGCACAAACCCGUCUGUGUCUACCAGCAGGGAGCAGCUGGCCUCCUGCCACCUGCACAGGUACUUGGUGGUGUAGCUGCCCACGGGGUUGUGGUGGCACCUAAGGGACAGUGAGCCCCCCAGCCUGCCAUGCAGAAACUUCAACCUCCGGGGCUGGGCAGGGACUGCAGGUAGAAGAAAUCAUGGUUAUGUUUGAUGUAGCUGCAAUGAGCCAAUGGGGCACAGCAGCCCCCAAAACCCCCUCCUACCUGUGGUCACCUGCAGGGCCACCAGCUGCCAGCUGUCCCAGUCAGCUGGGCUGCCCAUCCCACACUUGUACAGCCCUGCAUCGUCCAACCUUAAAUCAUUUAUCAGCACUUUGAAUGCUCCAGAGCUCUCCUGGGGGGUAAUACAGAUCCGUCCCUCGUAGCUCUUCCCCACAUAGCCAUCGGUGUCAGCAAUGAGGAUGCACCUGCUUCUCCCCACUCUGCACCAUAGCCUCCUGGUGCCACCCCAGCUGUCCCCGGGUGGGCAGGGGAUGGUGAUGGAGCCACGGAGCUCCCCGAGGUGCAGCUCAAUUGGCCUCUGAGUGCCCACAUCUGCAAAGACAGAGCAGGUGAGUGCCACCACUGUGCCUGGUUGGGUGUCACCUCCUUUUGCAUUGGUGCAUUGGUCACAUCAGUGGGUUUUAUGCCCACGACUGCUUAAAGCAAAGGGUAGCAAAGGGGACCUGACACCCUCCCUGUCCCAUCACUGUACCUGCUGACACUGUCAGGUUCAGGCUGACGUAGAGGUCCCUGUUGGUGGGGCCAAUGCCACAGCGGUAGGUCCCCGUGUCACUUGUCUUCAGCUGUGUCAUUGUAACCAUGAAAGUGCCAUGCUGGGGGACGUCCUCCAGGGCCACUCGGCCCAUGUGGUCUUUUGAGAUGAAGUUGGUGGUGGAGAUGAUGGUGUAGCAAAUCCCAUCUCUGUCCCUUUUACACCAAAACUUUCUGUCGUACUUGUUGGCAGGCGUGAUGGAGUAGAAGCACUGGUGGGUGAUGGACCCUCCAACUGCGCCUGUCAAAAACCUGGGCCCAUACAAGGUGCUCGAGGCUGCCUCUUUGGGGAAGGAGGGAAGAAGCACAUUAAUCAGAGACGUGGACACCCCUGUGGAUGGGGAAUCUUCCCCAACCCAAAUGGGGUGCCACAGGCACAGGUCCACCAGCCCUGGCUGUCCUGCCCCAUAGUGAUGGGAAGCAGCAAACCUCCAGCAGGAACCUUUGGUGCCUGCAGAGUUUUCUGGUGACUCACCUUGCAGCAAAGACACAAAGAGGAGGAGAACCUCCAUGUCUGCCCUUCUCGAAUGUUUACUUGGCAAACUUCCGAAUCUCAUUUUGGAUACUGGCUUUUGCUGGUGUCUCUGUGAGCAAACAGAAGGGAGAUUGUGGUUUGGAUGUACAGAGCUGAAUAACUCCAAAAAGGCGUGCAGAGAGUUUGAGGAUGGCAGCAGUGAUUCCCAAGCCCAGCUGCAGCCAUGACCCAUGGCACCUCACUGGGUCUUGCCCAGACCUCUGCAGCCCAACCUGGGGGCAUCAAACAUGCUUAUCUUUUCUUUUUUUUCCAGUGCAAAACACAACAGCAAGGCCUGCAGUUCUCAGGAAUCCCACCAGCAUGCCUUGCGCUCCUCCUGCCUGAACCACCUGAAUGCUCAUCCUCUGGCACCACACUCUCAAAGAUUCCAGGACAAAAGUCUGUUUUCUGCCUCAACGUUUGUUACAGCUUCUCACUGCAGCGAGCCCAGCUCUACAGUGUUAAAGGCUGCACUGCUGUGCGGUGAUUUCCAGGAAGUCACAACCCGGGCUCGGAGGGGGCCUGGAUGACACCUGGAGGGCAGCUGGGAUCUCUCCAUGCCCAAAGCAGCAGAAGGAGCAGCAGUGACCCCGCAGGACCCCACGGGCUGUCAAUGGGGCAACUAAACAAAACAUCCAAGCGGUGACACCGAGGCAUCUCCCUCACACGGACCUCCUGCUCUGUUAGUGGGUUUGCAAUGCAGACAUGAUAAAGCAAAGCUGAACGCUCUGGAUUCAAUACAACUGAUUUUUCAAUUUAAAAAUACUCCAACUGAGCAAUAAUCCCCCAGAAGUAUUUGGACACGCUUUCAGGAAUCCACCCAAGGUACAAGGCUAAAAAAUUCUAAGUGUUGCUCCCGAAAGUCCACGCCGUUGCAAACGUGGCAGACAAUAAAUACCUAUCUUCCUCUUCUACAGCACUUUUGUUUCGAAGACACCCAAAGUACACCUCUCUGAGGUAGGUAUUGUCCAUGUAACAGAUGGCAAAUGGCGAGGAACAGCUCCUUGCCCGAGGCACCUCACCUCUUCAGUGUGAAAGCUGAGAACAUGAUUUAGGGUCGAUAGUCUCUUGGUCUCAUUCCUAGACAGCAUUUUGCCUCAAGUCGUUGUAUCAGUGUAAUCUUCAAGUUCCCUCUUUAGGUUCAUAAGCAUCAGCUUCUUGAGGGCUGUUGGUAGUGAUUUGUUUUUUCUCAUGAUGGAUGAAAAGCAAAGUGUGGUUUAACACCGCAAGCUAAGUGGUUUUCUAUUGGAAACUCCCAACAGUAUGAACGUGUGUUUUAAUACUGAAAUAAAAAGAAAGCUGGUCCAUAGUGCUUUUGGCAAUUCUAUUCUUUAUCCUUAAUUAUUCUUGCCUCAAUUUAGCAAAGCACUUGGCAAUUAUGCUCUGUUUCCUGUGAGAUCCCCUCAGUGUCUCAAGGUCCAACUCAGGUGAGAACUUCAGUGAAAUAUGCUGCCUACAGAAAACAGGAUCUUCUGCGCCAGUUCAGCUACAUGCCUCAGUGAACGGAGGCCCUUAAAACUAAGGUUGAUUUCAUUUGGAAAGCGGGUUUGCUUCUGCCUCAAACUGAAGAUGCACGUUCCUGCUCUCCAUUUGUAGAAGAGCAA
RNA transcript from Gallus gallus (chicken), 3921 nucleotides. RefSeq lists it as uncharacterized. Lineage: Eukaryota; Metazoa; Chordata; Aves; Galliformes; Phasianidae. The record is from RefSeq and is a predicted model, not a curated record. The transcript is spliced from 8 exons.